This is a long non-coding RNA of Papaver somniferum (opium poppy), 1414 nucleotides long. RefSeq lists it as uncharacterized. The transcript is spliced from 3 exons. The record is from RefSeq and is a predicted model, not a curated record. Lineage: Eukaryota; Viridiplantae; Streptophyta; Magnoliopsida; Ranunculales; Papaveraceae.
CUCAAACCUAAUCUCUUUCUCACCUCUCACUUUGAAUUUUUCCUGACAACUUUUUCUUCUCCUUCCCAUUUUCUUCUCUAUGAAAUCAUCGAAAUCUCUUGAAAUCGAACUCAAUCUGUCCAAAUUAAAAGAAAUAUUAUCUUAAAUCUAACCCAAUUCAUGAGAUUCCUUGAACUCAGUCUGAUUUAUGAGAUGGGCUCUUAUAAGAUUGAGCUUAAGCAAUUUUAUUUAUCCUUUUUCUGUUCUCAGAUAGGGUUUUAACUAAGUCUGAUUUAUGAGAUCUCUUGAACUCAUCUCAUAAUUAAAACCCAUAUUUGAGAAGGAAAAUAUAAUUUUCGGACCUAUAUGACUUCAUUGCAGCAGAACCUGCAUUACCUCUUUGGUACUUAUUUUGCUUUGAAACUACAUUGGCAUGCCAAAUGAAUAGAGGUCACUGGCUCCGUGGUGGUGUAGGUAAAGGAAGGAUGGUGCUUCGAGAUCGUCCUGGUAUGAAAUUGUGUUAAUGGUGUGUAAGUCCUUGUUCACUAUCCACAUGCCUCUAGAGCUGCAAGUGGAUUGGUUUUUCUUUCAUAAAGUAUGGAGAUAUACCUGAAAGAAUCUAUUGAGUAGUGAAUCCUUUGUUCUAAUUAACAAAUUUGUUGUGUUUUUUGUUAGGAGUGGAAUAGGUCCUGCUCGGUAAUGACUAACCGGGGAGUUCCAUUUCCCAUAGAUAGACCUCAUGCUCUCUUUCUGAUUAACCGGGGAUGUAAAUUUUCAGAUUGUGGGAACUCGGGUCAUCAAACUCCCGUAUAUAGACCUCAUGUUCAUAUUUUGGUGAACCCAGGAUGUAAAUUAUUAGAAUAUGGGUACUCGGGUCAUCAGAUUCCCAUAGAUAGACCUCAUGUUCUUAUUCUGAUGAACCGGGGAUGUAAAUGAUCAGAUUCUGGGAACUCAGGUCAUCAGAUUCCCAUAUACCUCAUGUUUUCACUCAGAUGAACUGUGGAUUUAAAUUAUCAGAUUCAGGUAACUCGGGCCAUAUUACCCUUUUGUGGAUUUAAUAUAUCCCUUUUGGUGAAUCUCUGGCAGGUGCAGGAGAUCCGACGUCUUUCCCGGCGAGUUCAUUGUUUACCAACUGAAGAUUCUAAUCACUUUUGGUCCUUCAGCUCUUCUUCCAAUGGAAGAGGAUGUUUUUCAGAUUAAUUUAAAAAUUCCUUAAAAAAAUGUUACUAGGGUUGUGAAUCAUGCUCCAAGCCUCCAACGGUUCAAGCUGUCGCGUACGUAAGCGGGUGCUACUGUUAUUAGUUUCUAGAAAUUCUGUUACUGGUGAUCCUAUUACCUGAGAUUCGUUAUAGUCGGUCAUGUUGUAUUUGGUUUGUGUCAUGUAACUUUCGGGGCUAUCACCCUGUUUAUUUAUUAAAAAAAAAUACUUUCACUA